RNAcentral lists this ribosomal RNA (492 nucleotides) under uncultured bacterium. RNAcentral's name for it is "partial 16S ribosomal RNA". It matches the Rfam family "Bacterial small subunit ribosomal RNA", at positions 29 to 507 of the family's 1533-position model. The record is from RNAcentral.
AGUGAACGCUGGCGGUAGGCCUAACACAUGCAAGUCGAACGGCAGCACAGUAAGAGCUUGCUCUUACGGGUGGCGAGUGGCGGACGGGUGAGGAAUACAUCGGAAUCUACUUUUUCGUGGGGGAUAACGUAGGGAAACUUACGCUAAUACCGCAUACGACCUACGGGUGAAAGCAGGGGAUCUUCGGACCUUGCGCGAUUGAAUGAGCCGAUGUCGGAUUAGCUAGUUGGCGGGGUAAAGGCCCACCAAGGCGACGAUCCGUAGCUGGUCUGAGAGGAUGAUCAGCCACACUGGAACUGAGACACGGUCCAGACCCCUACGGGAGGCAGCAGUGGGGAAUAUUGGACAAUGGGCGCAAGCCUGAUCCAGCCAUACCGCGUGGGUGAAGAAGGACUUCGGGUUGUAAAGCCCUUUUGUUGGGAAAGAAAAGCAGCAGGUUAAUACCCCGCUGUUCUGACGGUACCCAAAGAAUAAGCACCGGCUAACUUCGUG